This 5087-nucleotide long non-coding RNA is filed under the name Volvox carteri. RNAcentral describes it as "long non-coding RNA (VCAR_LNC000682)". The record is from RNAcentral. Lineage: Eukaryota; Viridiplantae; Chlorophyta; Chlorophyceae; Chlamydomonadales; Volvocaceae.
CGUGUUGAAACUUUCCCACCCACCACGGUGCACUCAUUCGUCCACACUAUCACUAUCACUCGUCUCUACCCUGCGCUCCCGAAUGUGUCGGGUUGGAUCCAAGUACCACCAUAGGGUGCCCAAAGACUUCAUUUGGGCUUUCACUAAUAAUUCACUGGGGGGCACACCCUGGUUAAAGGCAUGCUGUAAACAACCAUGACGGAAACUAUGUACACUCUCGCCUCCAUACUGGCCACUACUGCUUAAGUGUUGUUUGAGGCGGCACCCCAAAGCCUCCGUUGAAAGCGGGGCUUCCUUGAAUCGGCGCCCGUCGGUGUCCACGGGCCGGAAGAGGUAGUCGGUCACAGGAACUUGCUACACUGAACACGUCGAAAGAUACACCGAAAGAGUGCCCAAGGGACAAAUCACGGGAUUACUGCUUCUCUCCACCAUUUGCCCAGGUGAUCGGACUCCUCGAUACAUCUUCGUCCCUAGCUUCGCGAUUUGCAGGCGACAGGUAGAAGCUUCUACCUGAGUCCCUUAAGGGACUCACCCGUCCACGCUGGGCAUAGGAAGCGGAAGGCCUCUGAAUGGGCUCCGAACUUGAUCAGGGUCCCGAAGAUUGUCCAGCCAAAGCUCUCUGCAGUCAUGCCCAUGCAUGCUCGUGCUCCACAGCAGACAGAAAAUACUCCGGUCCUGGAGCAGUGUUAUUCAGGAAAUCCGACUGAUGGUGUUGCUAGCGGUCUGCUCCAAGUACGUACUUAGAUCUACUAGUUUAGUGUACGAAAGAGGUACGGCACCCCGCUCAGUGUGACCCUGCCGAGUGAGAAUUUGCCGAUAACCCUUUCCAUAGCCACGAAUGGCUGAACACUCGCACGGAUUGCCGGUUGAUGCUGUCGCAUCGUACAGUCCUCGUCGGUUUAGUAAAUUGAAAGCUGUUGACAGGUGGGAGAUCGCCCCCUGCAAGGUUGCAGGGCAAGGCCUGCAAUCUACACGAACCCGGCCUGGGUGGGCGGUGAUCCAGUGUUCCUCGAAAAACAUCAAAAGUGACGCUGGAUCACAGUUUAGUAGAUUCACCCAGGGCCCAUGCUGUGCAAGCCAACUAUGCAGCUCGUGCGACUGUGUCCGAAUCUUGUGCCAGCUGUCCGGGGUCCAUUGCUGGCAGAUGGUCUCAUACACAGAUAACAGUGCCGGGCUAGGCAUUUGGGGGACCCCACGCCGACCCUCUAGCGAGUGAAGGAAGGCUACCAUGAUGGGGUCCGUGGUGCUUGGUAGCGCUGCCGGCCUUUCAGAGCGCGCUGCGGAGCUGGGCGCCCCAGCUUGGUUCACACUCACGGUAGCAGCCUGUACGCACAGUGUCUCGUUUUAUGCAUCGAUACAUUCUGGACUUUUUACCAAAUCUCUAGCCUCACCUCGGGGCUGCUGCCGGUGACGGGUCUACUGGGACUGGUCCACACCAGUCGCACCAAGGGUUCAUUGCUACGACUUGCACUGAAAGCAGAGAUCUGCAUCAUUUUGCGUAAAUCGGGUGUGGCUUUUUGAUAACCCCACCCACCCUCCCUUUCUUCUGUCUGCCUAGAAUUUUGGAUUCCUGAAAUCUGGCCAGCUACCUGUAACAAAAACCCUAAGCACCUCUUCCAAUUGGUGUCUUCCAGCCAACCACCAUCCAGUUGUGGUUUAGUAAGAUAUAACAAGUCUAGUAUCGAGACGGUUCCUCCCGGGGCCUCUCUCAUUCCUGGAAUUUGCAACAUCCUACGUUUUACCAUCAAGAUCCCUAUUUCUACCGGCGCGUGGAUGGAGGUCACCGGACCUCUGGCUACAAUAGUUGACGCUCUCGGAGAGGCCGUCCCCGAAGUGGCAGCCGCCGGUCUGUAAACUACUUUAGCAAAUCUGUUUGCUGACUUUUUCUAGGAUUUUGGGUUACUAGCGGUAAAGUUGCUGCAGGUUCUGAACCGCCGGUUCCUUCGGCGGUCCCUGCCCUUUGCCAGAGGCUCUGUCAAGAGCUUCGUAGCACCCGUUCGGUGCUAGACCAGACUUUCAGAAAACUUGACAGUUCUCUUUACUUGGGUACGCGGUCUGCCUGAUCUGGGUCAGGAUAGUUGGAAAUGGAGCAGUCUAGGCGAAGUCGUUGGGGAUAGAGGGUAGGACACAUGGUCAGGGAGAGCAAUUCUUUUGACUGCCCCGGUCGCACAAUUCCCGUGCUUCCCUAAUUCAACACCCCGAGCAGGCCAAUUCCGUCUGUCCGAAUGUCCCUGCCAGGCCAAUUCGACACCCUGACAGGCUAAUCCUGACUGUCGGAAUGUCUCCGCCAGGCUAAUUCGUAGGAGUGGCGGUGUUAUCUGGAGGGUCGGCCGUUCACCCUCAAAACCGACCAUGGUGGCCACAAACCCCUAACGUUUCUGCAAGGCGUGGCCUACCCUUAAUCGUCGUCAAGCCCGGUGGAUGGAAUACCUUAGCCGGUUUGACUUCACAAGGGAAUACCUGCAAGGCAUCUUUAACGUUGCUGAUGCCUUAAGUCGGGCACCCUUGUCUGCAUGCAGCCAUUCUGUCAGUCGUUACACGCGACCGUGCUGCAGCACCCGUUGUGCCCUCUGAACUUGUGCAACAACUUCGAGCUGCCUAUGCCACGGAUCCCUGGUUUUCCGAUAACCACAAUACUGGCCAUUUAACCCGUAACAGUGGCCUUUGGAUCCGCACUGAGGGUACUUUUCAGCAAGUUGUCGUUCCGAAUGAUGACUUGCUGCGUCAUGAUCUCCUGUCAUGUUUUCAUGAUGACCCGCUGGCUGGGCGCCCUGGCUGCACCCGUCUGAUCGAGGUUCUCCAUCGUCAAUCCUGGUGGCCUCGGAUGGCUAAGGAUGCUGAGAACUAUGUCCAGAACUGUGAGCUGUGCCAACGCAAUAAAGUCCUGUCUGGUAAGCCCCACGGCCUCCUGUGUCCCUUGCCUGUGCCGGCCCCCCUUGGGAAAGUGUUACCAUGGACUUUGUUGUAGCUUUGCCCAAAACUGAGGGAGGAUUCGAUGCCGUUUUGGUCAUGGUAGACCGACUCACGAAAAUGGUGCACCUGGCACCUACGGUAUCAUCCUGCACAGCUGAGCAAACUGCACAUCUGUUCUUUGACAACAUAGUGUGUUUGCAUGGUGUCCCCAAGAACGUUGUGACUGACCGCGGAUCGCAAUUUGCCAGCAGAUUUUGGGGCACCCUGGGUGAUCUGUUAGGCAUGCGUGUUAACCUGAGCACCGCCUAUCACCCACAGACCGAUGGACAGACAGAACAACGUACAAAUCGCACUCUUGGCGAUAUGUUGCACAAUUAUGCCGGACAUACACCUUCUGUCUGGGACACAUAUCUAACUGCUGCGGAAUUCACGAUUAAUAAUGCUGUGAAUCGCGCGACUUGCACAAGUCCGUUUUUCCUGGAUUAUGGAUACAACCCUGCCUUGCCUGUUUGGCGGGAGUUGGACGUCAACUUGCCUGCAGCAAAGACGUUUGCCAAGUCCUUUGUGUCCCGACUGACUGACGCUAAAUCUUGCCUUGAAGCUGCACAGCAACGUACGGCGGACUACUUUAACAAAUACUUAUAUGACAUACUUACAUAAAACCGCUUAAUCCCAGUGUAAGAAUGUUUAAGAAUGCACACCCGCUGCCUCCGUGUUCUUCAGACAUUCUUAUCGUUCUUAAGCAUUCUCCUAAGUUUCUUAACCCCCCUCCGCGUUUGUAGGGACUGCAGCCUCACUAUCCGAGGUUGGCUGCACUUCCUGCACAUGCAUGAGAGCAUGAGAAUAAAAGCAGGCACUGCAAAGACAGUGCUGACACAUACACACACGCCCUCCCCCAACCAGCCCCAGCCACCCGCCAUAGCAUCAGGAACUAAAAAGAGGGGAACGGGUAACGAAUCCACAAUGAAAACAACCCUGGCACAUAUGUGGCCCACCCCCGCCUGCCUACACAAAACAAAUCUGCCGUACUCCGAUAGCCAUAUCGGAGUACGACAGCUUUUUGACGCCCGACAUAAAACACAUAACAGCCCCGACCCUCCCUUCCAACUCACCUCUCCAAGCGAGCCCAAUUCCUUCUCACGGUGGCCACCCGCCUCCAUUCCCGGCUGUACGUCAGCCAGGAAUAACUAAUGUUAGUUUAGCGACAGUGAGUGGCGGUGAGUUCUAUUUUAACGUUGCUACAAGGCAUACUUAAAGAUAACACAAGUCCAUUAUCCCAAUGGAAGCUGUUCCGAAUUCCUUCUCACUUGAAGCGGUUCCGAUUAGCGACAAUUCUUGGCCCAUAUCGUGCUCGACUGAGUUGGGAGUCAUGGCUACGUGCUUUGUUCUUUCGUAAUGAAGAUACCGUACUGCUACGAAUUCUUCGCGCCACAUCGUUCGUGGGUACCCCAAAAAUGUAGCUGGAAUUUUUCGUUUUGUUACACCAAUUCUCGAGGGCUGUCAGUUUUUAUGGCACACAUUUGUUUACGUGAACACACAUUUCGCGGGGCUCCAGGGAAGCCACAACAAGGAGCGACAGCGUCAAAGCUCCCAAACUGCUGGACAGAUCGUUUACUAUAUGUUUACGCAGAAGAACAGAAGACAGGCCCGGUGGUGCGGCACCAAAGUCAGGUGCGGUUUACCAAACGCCCCGAUACACAAACAAAUAACAAAUAAAGUUCUGGCUUACCUACACCAUGUACACGGCGUACGACGCAUUUGUGCCAGACAGUUUCGCGACAAGCAAAUAAUUUUCCCCAUAGAGCGUUUUCCACUGUGACACACUUCGUGGCCCAAAACGAAAGGUGUGGCGCGAAGAAUUCGUAGCAGUACGGUAUUUGUUUGAUGGAGAGGACAUUGAAGCCAUAAUAGCCAAAGCUGUAGAUUGGAGCACCAAUACAGGUGGCAAACACCUAAACUAACCUAAACUUCACUUAUGAUGCAUUCACCAGUUAUAUUCAUGCUUUCCAUUGUGCUUUCGGGGCUGCACAUCUACAGUAACCUCAUCCAGACAACUGUCCCGUAGCUGCUGAGCCUUGGCGCUACACGUCUCCGGACUGCCAAAUGGCCAUUUGGCAGUCUCGCGAGAAAGGAAUCACUUGACAGACCAGAUUUAAGAAGCGGUGUACAACAGA